This 248-nucleotide ribosomal RNA is filed under the name uncultured Streptococcus sp. RNAcentral's name for it is "partial 16S ribosomal RNA". It matches the Rfam family "Bacterial small subunit ribosomal RNA", at positions 96 to 339 of the family's 1533-position model. The record is from RNAcentral. Lineage: Bacteria; Bacillati; Bacillota; Bacilli; Lactobacillales; Streptococcaceae.
UUGCGAACGGGUGAGUAACGCGUAGGUAACCUGCCUGGUAGCGGGGGAUAACUAUUGGAAACGAUAGCUAAUACCGCAUAACAGUAAAUGUUGCAUGACAUUUGCUUAAAAGGUGCAAUUGCAUCACUACCAGAUGGACCUGCGUUGUAUUAGCUAGUUGGUGGGGUAACGGCUCACCAAGGCGACGAUACAUAGCCGACCUGAGAGGGUGAUCGGCCACACUGGGACUGAGAAAAGGAAAAGAGUAC